RNAcentral lists this ribosomal RNA (497 nucleotides) under uncultured bacterium. RNAcentral describes it as "partial 16S ribosomal RNA". It matches the Rfam family "Bacterial small subunit ribosomal RNA", at positions 28 to 507 of the family's 1533-position model. The record is from RNAcentral.
GAUGAACGCUGGCGGCGUGCCUAAUACAUGCAAGUCGAGCGAACAGACGAGGAGCUUGUUCCUUCGACGUUAGCGGCGGACGGGUGAGUAACACGUAGGUAAUCUACCUAUAAGACUGGGAUAAUUUCGGGAAACCGGAGCUAAUACCGGAUAAUAUUCCGCACCGCAGGGUUCGUUAGUGAAAGACGGCUUUGCUAUCUCUUAUCGAUGGAUCUGCGCCGUAUUAGCUAGUUGGUAAGGUAACGGCUUACCAAGGCAACGAUACGUAGCCGACCUGAGAGGAGGGUCGGCCACACUGGAGCUGAGACACGGUCCAGACUCCUACGGGAGGCAGCAGUAGGGAAUCUUCCGCAGAGGGCGAAAGCCUGACGGAGCAACGCCGCGUGAGUGAUGAAGGUCUUCGGAUCGUAAAACUCUGUUAUGAGGGAAGAACAAACGUGUAAGUAACUGUGCACGUCUUGACGGUACCUAAUCAGAAAGCCACGGCUAACUACGUG